UUCUUCGGAUGAAUUCAUUUGUGACUGAGCGGCGGACGGGUGAGUAACGCGUGGGUAACCUGCCUCAUACAGGGGGAUAACAGUUGGAAACGACUGCUAAUACCGCAUAAGCGCACAGUACCGCAUGGUACAGUGUGAAAAACUCCGGUGGUAUGAGAUGGACCCGCGUCUGAUUAGCUAGUUGGUGAGGUAACGGCCCACCAAGGCGACGAUCAGUAGCCGGCCUGAGAGGGUGAACGGCCACAUUGGGACUGAGACACGGCCCAAACUCC
This 272-nucleotide ribosomal RNA is filed under the name uncultured Lachnospiraceae bacterium. Its description in RNAcentral is "partial 16S ribosomal RNA". It matches the Rfam family "Bacterial small subunit ribosomal RNA", at positions 68 to 339 of the family's 1533-position model. Lineage: Bacteria; Bacillati; Bacillota; Clostridia; Lachnospirales; Lachnospiraceae. The record is from RNAcentral.